AGAGUUUGAUCCUGGCUCAGGAUGAACGCUAGCGGGAGGCCUAACACAUGCAAGCCGAGCGGUAGAAGAUCUUCGGAUCUUUGAGAGCGGCGCACGGGUGCGGAACACGUGUGCAACCUGCCUUUAUCUGGGGGAUAGCCUUUCGAAAGGAAGAUUAAUACCCCAUAAUAUAUUUUACGGCAUCGUAGGAUAUUGAAAACUCCGGUGGAUAGAGAUGGGCACGCGCAAGAUUAGAUAGUUGGUGAGGUAACGGCUCACCAAGUCAGUGAUCUUUAGGGGGCCUGAGAGGGUGAUCCCCCACACUGGUACUGAGACACGGACCAGACUCCUACGGGAGGCAGCAGUGAGGAAUAUUGGACAAUGGGUGAGAGCCUGAUCCAGCCAUCCCGCGUGAAGGACUAAGGCCCUAUGGGUUGUAAACUUCUUUUAUACUGGGAUAAACCUACUUACGUGUAAGUAGCUGAAGGUACAGUAUGAAUAAGCACCGGCUAACUCCGUG
RNAcentral lists this ribosomal RNA (499 nucleotides) under uncultured Flavobacteriaceae bacterium. Its description in RNAcentral is "bacterial SSU rRNA". It matches the Rfam family "Bacterial small subunit ribosomal RNA", at positions 8 to 507 of the family's 1533-position model. Lineage: Bacteria; Pseudomonadati; Bacteroidota; Flavobacteriia; Flavobacteriales; Flavobacteriaceae. The record is from RNAcentral.